Molecule: transfer RNA, 72 nt
Filed under: Bos taurus (domestic cattle)
Lineage: Eukaryota; Metazoa; Chordata; Mammalia; Artiodactyla; Bovidae
Rfam family: tRNA
About the family: Transfer RNA (tRNA) molecules are approximately 80 nucleotides in length. Their secondary structure includes four short double-helical elements and three loops (D, anti-codon, and T loops).
Source: Rfam by way of RNAcentral
UCCCUAGUGGCUCAGAUGGUAAAGAAUCUGCCUGCAGUGCAGGAGACUUGGGUUCAAUUCCUGGGUUGGGAA